RNAcentral lists this ribosomal RNA (222 nucleotides) under uncultured bacterium. Its description in RNAcentral is "partial 16S ribosomal RNA". It matches the Rfam family "Bacterial small subunit ribosomal RNA", at positions 109 to 334 of the family's 1533-position model. The record is from RNAcentral.
AGUAAUGCUUGGGAAUCUAGCUUAUGGAGGGGGAUAACUACGGGAAACUGUAGCUAAUACCGCGUAGAAUCGAGAGAUGAAAGUGUGGGACCUUCGGGCCACAUGCCAUAGGAUGAGCCCAAGUGGGAUUAGGUAGUUGGUGAGGUAAAGGCUCACCAAGCCGACGAUCUCUAGCUGGUCUGAGAGGAUGACCAGCCACACUGGGACUGAGACGCGGCCCAG